RNAcentral lists this ribosomal RNA (253 nucleotides) under uncultured bacterium. Its description in RNAcentral is "partial 16S ribosomal RNA". It matches the Rfam family "Bacterial small subunit ribosomal RNA", at positions 524 to 776 of the family's 1533-position model. The record is from RNAcentral.
GACAGAGGUGGCGAGCGUUGUUCGGAUUUAUUGGGCGUAAAGCGUACGCAGGCGGUUUGGUAAGUCAGGGGUGAAAGUCCACAGCUUAACUGUGGCACUGCCUUUGAUACUGCCUUUCUUGAGUAGAGUAGGGGGAAGCGGAAUUCCGAGUGUAGAGGUGAAAUUCGUAGAUAUUCGGAGGAACACCGGUGGCGAAGGCGGCUUCCUGGACUCUAACUGACGCUCAUGUACGAAAGCGUGGGUAGCAAACAGG